Lepisosteus oculatus (spotted gar) is the source of this 386-nucleotide long non-coding RNA. RefSeq lists it as uncharacterized. The record is from RefSeq and is a predicted model, not a curated record. Lineage: Eukaryota; Metazoa; Chordata; Actinopteri; Semionotiformes; Lepisosteidae.
GAAACCUAUCCCAGCAAGUACAGAUGCAAGGCAGGAUACACCCUGGACAACAGGAUGCCCGUACAUCAUAAGGGGAUGACCCCCAAAAGAUGAGUCAUCCAGCAGCACCCAGGAGGCUCAGCAGAGGAGAAAGCCCAGCCAGGUGGCUCAGAGGAGCACGAUGCUCUCAGAUUCCAGCUUGGCGUGUUAACGGAAGCAAAAAGGUGAUGUGAAACAAGUCUCUUUACUGAAAAGAUGUCAGACACAUAUAAUAAGUUUUCCCCUUAUUUAUCAUAAAUGUACCAUUGAUGAACUGAAUACUACGAACUAGUGAUUUCGGCUGAAGAGGGGAGCCCCUCCAAAUCGUUUCUUGUUAAAAGAAACUGUUAAAAUGCUGAAAACAAAAC